Long non-coding RNA from Oncorhynchus keta (chum salmon), 4044 nucleotides. RefSeq lists it as uncharacterized. Lineage: Eukaryota; Metazoa; Chordata; Actinopteri; Salmoniformes; Salmonidae. The record is from RefSeq and is a predicted model, not a curated record. The transcript is spliced from 5 exons.
UUGUCCCUUUCAGGACCACACUAUGUUUUUGUUGUGCCUUUCAGGACCACACUAUGUUUUUGUUGUGCCUUUCAGGACCACACUAUGUUUUUGUUGUCCCUUUCAGGACCACACUAUGUUUUUGUUGUGCCUUUCAGGACCACACUAUGUUUUUGUUGUGCCUUUCAGGACCACACUAUGUUUUUGUUGUCCCUUUCAGGACCACACUAUGUUUUUGUUGUGCCUUUCAGGACCACACUAUGUUUUUGUUGUCCCUUUCAGGACCACACUAUGUUUUUGUUGUCCCUUUCAGGACCACACUGUCCGUGAUGGACGUCCUUCUCUGUGUCCUCAUCUCCUGGUUCACAUGAAGGCCUGUCCUGCAGACCUCAGGCCCCCACGUUUCCUAUCCAGUAACCCCAGGCCACGUCCUCCUCGCCAGGAACCGACAAAACAAAGACGAGCCUUUAGCGGCCUGAAGACGCGUUCAUGUGCAGACUCCAGGAGCAGGAGCCUGCAGUACUGCAGCACCACCAGAGGGAGGCGCUUAGCUGUUGUUGUUCCCUGUGUUCCAGUGCCAGUCUCCCCCUCUCCCAGCAGAGCCUCCCCUGAGCUCCCAGUCUGCCCGUCCAACACCCUCCACGGUCACUGAUUCUGGGCAGCAGGGGACUGGAUCCAACCCUGCUCCAGCCUCAGCCCUACCUCAUGGCCAUACUCAGAAAGGAGAGAGGGAAACAGAGGAGAUGGGUUUCUCCAGUCCAUAGUGUCUGUGAGGGAUCUCUCUGAGUUUGACAGCCCACCAUCCAGCCAGUACAGCCGAAGCACAGACCUGGGUAGUGGUCUGAGCGGUCCUCUAUGUGCAAAUCUGAGUGACCUGGACUCAGAGGGUGGCUCUCCUCUCUUCCAGAAUAGCUCCUCUUCCAUGGUCUGUUCUGCCCUCAUGCAACCCACAGGACCCCCCAGCACACCAGCCCCUCACCACCCUCUACACCAUCCCCUCCCUCCCCAGGCCCAACUCUGCCCACCUGACUGGACCACCACGGAGCCCCAGCCAGGCCAUGUCCUCCAUCCCAACCCAGACCCUACUACCCUAGCUUUCCCCUCAGAAACCUGGCAGUCCUACCCCAGCCCACAGUGCAGGAUAACUCCCCGGCCAGGGUCACGGUUAGGGUCAGGUUUGACCUCAUCUCCUGUUGUGGCGGAGAGGCAGGACUGGACAUCACACCGCUGGUCAGUCCUUCCCCCCAUCUCUCCUGUCAGAGGUGAGGAAUGAUUCCUGCCUGUCCCAUAUGGGCCGUUCACAGCCUCCUCCCAGCCCUCCCAGCCUCCUCCCAGCCCUCCCAGCCUCCUCCCAGCCUCCUCCCAACCCUCCCAGCCUCCUCCCAGCCCUCCCAGCCUCCUCCCAACCCCCCCAGCCUCCUUCCCAGCCUCCCUCCCUGUCCAGCAGCAGCCUACACUGGUGCCCCUUACCUAGCGCCACGGGGCUGAUUGUCCACAACAUGGCUGGACAUCUUCCCUGGUACAAAGAGACGGCAGCCAACAGACAACAGAGGAAAUCAAAGCCUGGCUCUAUAGAGACGCCCUCCUCAGAUGCUCCUGUCCCCAUCGCCGCUCUGCAUUGUGAGGUUCUGCUGUCAGCCCUGUUUUGUUUCCCCUCGUAAUAAAUAACGCAGAAAGCUUUUCUUUUCCCUUUAAAGAGGCAAUAGAAAGAGGACUCUUUUGAUGAAGAGCUGGUACCGUUUGAUUCCCAGUUCAAAGGCGCGCGAGGCCCCUUCACAAUAGGAGGGAGUGGGGGGUUCCCUGCCUCGUGUGCCGUCCCCACUCAGCCGCGGCUUCCCCGCGCUCUCGCCAUUCUCCCGGUGGCUGAAAGGGAGACGUGUAGCCGAUGGUCAUAAAUCCACACUGACCACCGCACGCUGACGGGGGAAACAGUUAGAGCUACGGUCCACAAUAGAAUAUAGUGGCUUUCCGUCGCAGCUAAUUUACCGUUUAGAAUAGAGAUAAAGGACGGGGCCACUGGCAUCUGACUUUUAUGGGGGGCUUUAUGAAAGACUAUGAAAAGAGAGCAAACAAUUGGGAAAUUGUGUAUGGAUUUUCUUUCUCUAUCAGAAAUGAUGGUGCCGCCUGCGCUCUUCUAAGGUCCUUACUACUGAUUAGUAUCGGUUCCAGGUGCGUAGGAGUCAAAGUAAGAACACUGAAAGAGAUUUUGACCAGCACACGGUUGAAAAAAGGAAUACAUUCAAAACUGAGGCUUGAAUGUAACCUAAAUAUGUUUAUUAGAACAUCAUGGUGCCCCAAAAAUCAAUAAAGUGCAUAAAUGAAAGAUGGGAAAAAAAUAAAAAAUAAUAAUUGGCCUUUGGUCUUUCUCAGUGUAAAUAGUCAGCAGAGACACCUGGCUUCUAUUUCAAGGAUAAGGAUAAUUGCAUAAUUCACAUGAUCAGAAAAUCGAUAAAUCAGUACCGAGUACAAUAGACGCGGCAUGAUCUACAUUUUAUACAGAAUAUACAAAAGCAGAGAGGAAUAUCAUCAAUUAUUGCUUUUACAUGUACCAUGUGACCAUUUCUCCAUCAGAGACAUCUACAGUUCUAUAUGGUGAUACACUGUUCUCUAUGGGGAGAUAGAUCUAUAUGGUGAUACACUGUUCUCUAUGGGGAGAUACAUCUGUAUGGUGAUACACUGUUCUCUAUGGGGAGAUAGAUCUAUAUGGUGAUACACUGUUCUCUAUGGGGAGAUACAUCUGUAUGGUGAUACACUGUUCUCUAUGGGGGAGAUACAUCUAUAUGGUGAUACACUGUUCUCUAUGGGGAGAUACAUCUGUAUGGUGAUACACUGUUCACUCUGGGGAGAUACAUCUGUAUGGUGAUACACUGUUCUCUAUGGGGAGAUACAUCUAUAUGGUGAUACACUGUUCUCUAUGGGGAGAUACAUCUAUAUGGUGAUACACUGUUCUCUAUGGGGAGAUACAUCUAUAUGGUGAUACACUGUUCUCUAUGGGGAGAUACAUCUAUAUGGUGAUACACUGUUCUCUAUGGGGAGAUACAUCUAUAUGGUGAUACACUGUUCUCUAUGGGGGAGAUACAUCUAUAUGGUGAUACACUGUUCUCUAUGGGGAGAUACAUCUAUAUGGUGAUACACUGUUCUCUAUGGGGAGAUACAUCUAUAUGGUGAUACACUGUUCUCUAUGGGGGAGAUACAUCUAUAUGGUGAUACACUGUUCUCUAUGGGGGAGAUACAUCUAUAUGGUGAUACACUGUUCUCUAUGGGGAGAUACAUCUAUAUGGUGAUACACUGUUCUCUAUGGGGAGAUACAUCUAUAUGGUGAUACACUGUUCUCUAUGGGGAGAUACAUCUAUAUGGUGAUACACUGUUCUCUAUGGGGAGAUACAUCUGUAUGGUGAUACACUGUUCUCUAUGGGGGAGAUACAUCUAUAUGGUGAUACACUGUUCUCUAUGGGGAGAUACAUCUAUAUGGUGAUACACUGUUCUCUAUGGGGGAGAUACAUCUAUAUGGUGAUACACUGUUCUCUAUGGGGGAGAUACAUCUAUAUGGUGAUACACUGUUCUCUAUGGGGAGAUACAUCUAUAUGGUGAUACACUGUUCUCUAUGGGGGAGGUAAAUCUAUAUGGUGAUACACUGUUCUCUAUGGGGGAGAUACAUCUAUAUGGUGAUACACUGUUCUCUAUGGGGAGAUACAUCUAUAUGGUGAUACACUGUUCUCUAUGGGGGAGAUACAUCUAUAUGGUGAUACACUGUUCUCUAUGGGGAGAUACAUCUAUAUGGUGAUACACUGUUCUCUAUGGGGGAGAUACAUCUAUAUGGUGAUACACUGUUCUCUAUGGGGAGAUACAUCUAUAUGGUGAUACACUGUUCUCUAUGGGGAGAUACAUCUAUAUGGUGAUACACUGUUCUCUAUGGGGAGAUACAUCUAUAUGGUGAUACACUGUUCUCUAUGGGGAGAUACAUCUAUAUGGUGAUACACUGUUCUCUAUGGGGAGAUACAUCUAUAUGGUGAUACACUGUUCUCUAUGGGGGAGAUACAUCUGUAUGGUGAUACACUGUUCUCU